CUACGGGAUGCACCAGUGAGGAAUAUUGCACAAUGGGGGGAACCCUGAUGCAGCAACGCCGCGUGGAGGAUGACGCAUUUCGGUGUGUAAACUCCUUUUAUAUGUCAAGAAAAUGACGGUAGCAUAUGAAUAAGCACCGGCUAACUCCGUGCCAGCAGCCGCGGUAAUACGGAGGGUGCAAGCGUUACUCGGAAUCACUGGGCGUAAAGGGCGCGUAGGCGGGCUUGUAAGUCAGGUGUGAAAUCCUACAGCUUAACUGUAGAACUGCACUUGAAACUUCUAAUCUAGAGUAUGGGAGGGGGAGAUGGAAUUAGUGGUGUAGGGGUAAAAUCCGUAGAUAUCACUAGGAAUACCUAAAGCGAAGGCGAUCUCCUGGAACAUUACUGACGCUAAGGCGUGAAAGCGUGGGGAGCAAACAGGAUUAGAUACCCCGGUAGUC
RNAcentral lists this ribosomal RNA (439 nucleotides) under uncultured bacterium. Its description in RNAcentral is "partial 16S ribosomal RNA". It matches the Rfam family "Bacterial small subunit ribosomal RNA", at positions 339 to 795 of the family's 1533-position model. The record is from RNAcentral.